UCGGGAAUAUUGCGCAAUGGAGGAAACUCUGACGCAGUGACGCCGCGUGCAGGAAGAAGGUUUUCGGAUUGUAAACUGCUUUAGACAGGGAAGAAAAAAUGACAGUACCUGUAGAAUAAGCUCCGGCUAACUACGUGCCAGCAGCCGCGGUAAUACUUAGGGAGCGAGCGUUAUCCGGAUUUAUUGGGUGUAAAGGGUGCGUAGACGGGAAACUUAAGUUAGUUGUGAAAUCCCUCGGCUCAACUGAGGAACUGCAACUAAAACUGAUAUUCUUGAGUACUGGAGAGGAAAGUGGAAUUCCUAGUGUAGCGGUGAAAUGCGUAGAUAUUAGGAGGAACACCAGUGGCGAAGGCGACUUUCUGGACAGAAACUGACGUUGAGGCACGAAAGUGUGGGGAGCAAACAGGAUUAGAUACCC
RNAcentral lists this ribosomal RNA (418 nucleotides) under uncultured bacterium. RNAcentral's name for it is "bacterial SSU rRNA". It matches the Rfam family "Bacterial small subunit ribosomal RNA", at positions 355 to 787 of the family's 1533-position model. The record is from RNAcentral.